CCUGGACUACCUCGUGUUUAUCAAGUUGUGCUGAAUUGUCAUCGGUCUCCAGCAGUCCGGUUGGAGACCAGGUGAACUAUUUGAAGUCUCUUUCUCCAAUUUCUUCAGUGCCAGCUGCAGAACCUGGUGCCUCAAUGGUGCCCAAUUAAGUGCUGUAGUGCCAAGGAGUAAAUAUCCAGAGACUGAUGUUUUCCAAGUGUAUCACAUGCCGUAAUGGAGCACGCGCAUCUUCAGAGAACAUCUGAUGAGGUGCUAAAGUGUCUGGUCCCAGAGCUGGACCAUGAAGAAGUGGAACCUGAGCAAAUGGUGGAGGCACCGCUCCUGGCCACAAAGGGUAGAAAUCUGAGUGAAUGAGAUCAAGUCCAAGGGUUCUGCAGCCAGAGGAGUCAGAACCUGCCUCUUCUCAAUAUGGAGCUUCGAGAUUCAGAGGAAUACGCUGCUCCCUUCCCUGUGUGACUUGAGCCCAAGUCUUUGUCUAUGAAGCUCCCAUUUCUUCUCUGACAGGAUGUACUCAAGUCCGGGGAAUGCUGUUCCGCGGUUCUGGUAUGAAGCGAGGCCCUGGGUGCCUGCUUCGGGAAGCAAAGACCAGGCACUCAUCCAUCUCUCUAUUGAACUGCCCGUCUGAUUCAAUCAACUUUUACAAAAUGCCUACUUAGUGGCAAGAUUCUUAGAAAAGCCACUACACUUCUUUGAAGAGCAAAGUUCCUUUCAGUAAAAUGGGGGUAUUGAGAUGAACUCUACUAUAGGAUUUUUACAGAGAGUGAAAUAAAUUAUCUAGAAAGACUUUUUACCUGCAAAGUGUUCUCCCC
This is a long non-coding RNA of Talpa occidentalis (Iberian mole), 809 nucleotides long. RefSeq lists it as uncharacterized. The record is from RefSeq and is a predicted model, not a curated record. The transcript is spliced from 6 exons. NCBI's taxonomy places the organism in Eukaryota, Metazoa, Chordata, Mammalia, Eulipotyphla, Talpidae.